This 71-nucleotide microRNA precursor is filed under the name Mandrillus leucophaeus (drill). RNAcentral describes it as "miRNA (ENSMLEG00000022767.1)". The record is from RNAcentral. Lineage: Eukaryota; Metazoa; Chordata; Mammalia; Primates; Cercopithecidae.
UAUUAGGUUGGUGCAAAAGUAAUUGCGGUUUUUGCCAUUAAAAGUAAUGACAAAAGUCACAAUUACUUUUG